RNAcentral lists this long non-coding RNA (300 nucleotides) under Capsella grandiflora. RNAcentral's name for it is "long non-coding RNA (CGRA_LNC000020)". Lineage: Eukaryota; Viridiplantae; Streptophyta; Magnoliopsida; Brassicales; Brassicaceae. The record is from RNAcentral.
AUAUCGAUAACAUUUAUCAAAUAGAACAACUAAAUAUCAAAAUUUGAAACGAAAUCCUUAUUUAAUGAAGUUGACAAAUAAGAUAUUUAUCGAAGUCCUUUCUACUUAUGACUAGGGAGAAGUUUUGUCACCGGUGAGAUUGGAUUGAUAAGUGGUACCACCACUUCCUCCACCAAUGCCAAUACCAAAGCCAAUGCCCAUUCCAAAACCCACUCCUCCUCCAUUGCCUAUUCCGGUUCCUUUUCCCAUACCAUAUCCUUCUCCUUUGCCCAUACCAAAACCAGAACCUGAACCACUACC